UACGUAGGGUGCGAGCGUUAAUCGGAAUUACUGGGCGUAAAGCGCGCGCAGGUGGCGCUGUAAGACAGAUGUGAAAUCCCCGGGCUUAACCUGGGAACUGCAUUUGUGACUGCAGUGCUAGAGUGUGUCAGAGGGGGGUGGAAUUCCACGUGUAGCAGUGAAAUGCGUAGAGAUGUGGAGGAACACCGAUGGCGAAGGCAGCCCCCUGGGAUAACACUGACGCUCAGGCACGAAAGCGUGGGGAGCAAACAGGA
Molecule: ribosomal RNA, 254 nt
Filed under: uncultured prokaryote
Description: partial 16S ribosomal RNA
Rfam family: Bacterial small subunit ribosomal RNA
Source: RNAcentral